AGCAGCCGCGGUAAUUCCAGCUCCAAUAGCGUAUAUUAAAGUUGUUGCAGUUAAAAGCUCGUAGUUGAAUUUCGGGGUCAGUAGGUUGGUCAUGCCACUGGUAUGUACUGGUCUCACUGAUUCCUCCUUCCUGAUGAGCUGUAAUGCCAUUAAUUUGGUGUUGUGGGGAAUCAGGACUGUUACUUUGAAAAAUUUAGAGUGUUUAAAGCAGGCUAACGCCUGAAUACAUUAGCAUGGAAUAAUGAAAUAGGACGUUCGAUCCUAUUUUGUUGGUUUCUAGGAUUGACGUAAUGAUUAAUAGGGAUAGUUGGGGGCGUUAGUAUUUCAUUGUCAGAGGUGAAAUUCUUGGAUUUCUGAAAGACUAACUUCUGCGAAAGCAUUCGCCAAGGAUGUUUUCAUUAAUCAAGAACGAAAGUUAGGGGAUCGAAGACGAUCAGAUACCGUCGUAGUCUUAACCAUAAACUAUGCCGACUAGGGAUCGGACGAAGUUAAUUUUAUAAUGACGCGUUCGGCACCUUACGGGAAACCAAAGUGUUUGGGUU
Molecule: ribosomal RNA, 542 nt
Filed under: uncultured Glomeromycotina
Lineage: Eukaryota; Fungi; Glomeromycota
Description: SSU rRNA
Rfam family: Eukaryotic small subunit ribosomal RNA
Source: RNAcentral